AUGCAGUCGACGAACUCUGGUAUUGAUUGGUGCUUGCAUCAUGAUUUACAUUUGAGUGAGUGGCGAACUGGUGAGUAACACGUGGGAAACCUGCCCAGAAGCGGGGGAUAACACCUGGAAACAGAUGCUAAUACCGCAUAACAACUUGGACCGCAUGGUCCGAGUUUGAAAGAUGGCUUCGGCUAUCACUUUUGGAUGGUCCCGCGGCGUAUUAGCUAGAUGGUGGGGUAACGGCUCACCAUGGCAAUGAUACGUAGCCGACCUGAGAGGGUAAUCGGCCACAUUGGGACUGAGACACGGCCCAAACUCCUACGGGAGGCAGCAGUAGGGAAUCUUCCACAAUGGACGAAAGUCUGAUGGAGCAACGCCGCGUGAGUGAAGAAGGGUUUCGGCUCGUAAAACUCUGUUGUUAAAGAAGAACAUAUCUGAGAGUAACUGUUCAGGUAUUGACGGUAUUUAACCAGAAAGCCACGGCUAACUACGUGCCAGCAGCCGCGGUAAUACGUAGGUGGCAAGCGUUGUCCGGAUUUAUUGGGCGUAAAGCGAGCGCAGGCGGUUUUUUAAGUCUGAUGUGAAAGCCUUCGGCUCAACCGAAGAAGUGCAUCGGAAACUGGGAAACUUGAGUGCAGAAGAGGACAGUGGAACUCCAUGUGUAGCGGUGAAAUGCGUAGAUAUAUGGAAGAACACCAGUGGCGAAGGCGGCUGUCUGGUCUGUAACUGACGCUGAGGCUCGAAAGUAUGGGUAGCAAACAGGAUUAGAUACCCUGGUAGUCCAUACCGUAAACGAUGAAUGCUAAGUGUUGGAGGGUUUCCGCCCUUCAGUGCUGCAGCUAACGCAUUAAGCAUUCCGCCUGGGGAGUACGGCCGCAAGGCUGAAACUCAAAGGAAUUGACGGGGGCCCGCACAAGCGGUGGAGCAUGUGGUUUAAUUCGAAGCUACGCGAAGAACCUUACCAGGUCUUGACAUACUAUGCAAAUCUAAGAGAUUAGACGUUCCCUUCGGGGACAUGGAUACAGGUGGUGCAUGGUUGUCGUCAGCUCGUGUCGUGAGAUGUUGGGUUAAGUCCCGCAACGAGCGCAACCCUUAUUAUCAGUUGCCAGCAUUAAGUUGGGCACUCUGGUGAGACUGCCGGUGACAAACCGGAGGAAGGUGGGGAUGACGUCAAAUCAUCAUGCCCCUUAUGACCUGGGCUACACACGUGCUACAAUGGAUGGUACAACGAGUUGCGAACUCGCGAGAGUAAGCUAAUCUCUUAAAGCCAUUCUCAGUUCGGAUUGUAGGCUGCAACUCGCCUACAUGAAGUCGGAAUCGCUAGUAAUCGCGGAUCAGCAUGCCGCGGUGAAUACGUUCCCGGGCCUUGUACACACCGCCCGUCACACCAUGAGAGUUUGUAACACCCAAAGUCGGUGGGGUAACCUUAGGAACCAG
RNAcentral lists this ribosomal RNA (1428 nucleotides) under Lactiplantibacillus plantarum. RNAcentral's name for it is "bacterial SSU rRNA". It matches the Rfam family "Bacterial small subunit ribosomal RNA". Lineage: Bacteria; Bacillati; Bacillota; Bacilli; Lactobacillales; Lactobacillaceae. The record is from RNAcentral.